GCAACCUGCAAAUCAAAUUCUGCCUUUGAAGUACUGAGUGAAUCCCUGGGAUGGCUGAGGCCAGAGACUAUGGGCUGCUGAGGAGAGGCAGAAUAACAAUGGGGAGUGCUGCCCAGAGUUGGCUGAAUCCCGGUGACUUCCCAGAGUUUCCUCACCCAGAUUGUACCAGACAUCCAUCUCUCCACUGAGUGUCCGAACCUCAAUGAUGGUUUGACCAAGGAAAUCAUCAGACUCUCGCUUCAGUCGCUGUUUCACUCUGGAUUUGAUGUCAUCGUCCUCAUCCCACACACGUACCUUGAUGCGAUCGGAAGAGUUGUGGCACUCACUGUGAAAGAAGCAGUUAUAGAUUCUUUCUCCUCAACACCUUGCUCCCUCAUACAUGAGAUGCUACCUCCUCGUGCUUUCCCCACGGUCUCCGUAAGCUUUAGCUUGCUUACCAGUGAUGGUAAUUU
Long non-coding RNA from Myodes glareolus (Bank vole), 452 nucleotides. RefSeq lists it as uncharacterized. NCBI's taxonomy places the organism in Eukaryota, Metazoa, Chordata, Mammalia, Rodentia, Cricetidae. The record is from RefSeq and is a predicted model, not a curated record.